CUACGGGGGGCUGCAGUGAGGAAUUUUGCGCAAUGGGGGAAACCCUGACGCAGCAACGCCGCGUGAGUGAAGAAGGCCUUUGGGUCGUAAAGCUCUGUCAACUGGGAAGAAGUUAACCAUGAUUAAUAGUUGUGGUUAUUGACGGUACCAGUGGAGGAAGCGCCGGCUAACUCCGUGCCAGCAGCCGCGGUAACACGGGGGGCGCAAGCGUUAUGCGGAAUUAUUGGGCGUAAAGGGCGCGCAGGCGGUCUUGCCAGUCAGGUGUGAAAGCCCGGGGCUCAACCCUGGAAGUGCACUUGAAACAGCAAGACUUGAGUACGGGAGAGGAGAGAGGAAUUCCUGGUGUAGAGGUGAAAUUCGUAGAUAUCAGGAGGAACACCGAUGGCGAAGGCAUCUCUCUGGACCGAUACUGACGCUGAGGCGCGAAGGCGUGGGUAGCGAACGGGAUUAGAUACCCGCGUAGUC
This 465-nucleotide ribosomal RNA is filed under the name uncultured bacterium. Its description in RNAcentral is "partial 16S ribosomal RNA". It matches the Rfam family "Bacterial small subunit ribosomal RNA", at positions 339 to 795 of the family's 1533-position model. The record is from RNAcentral.